AGAAGUCAAUGAACUUGAAGAUAAGAUCAAGUGGGCAUGUGAUCAAAUAGUAUAUAGUAUAAAUCAAAUAUCCUUUCCACUACCUUAAUUCAUGGGCAAGGACGGUACUAUACAUCACACCUGUCACUGAAUUUGUGGGCGAAGGACAAUAUGCAGUAUCACUCCUUUCACCAUCCAAUAGUGGACAACCGCUCUAUUUGAUUUUUCCUUUUU
Molecule: long non-coding RNA, 213 nt
Filed under: Lathyrus oleraceus (garden pea)
Lineage: Eukaryota; Viridiplantae; Streptophyta; Magnoliopsida; Fabales; Fabaceae
Description: Pisum sativum (pea) long non-coding RNA (PSAT_LNC000986)
Source: RNAcentral